GAUGAAGAACGCAGCGAAAUGCGAUAAGUAUUGUGAAUUGCAGAAUUCAGUGAAUCAUCGAAUCUUUGAACGCACAUUGCGCCCCCUGGUAUUCCGGGGGGCAUGCCUGUCCGAGCGUCAUUACAACCCUCAAGCUCAGCUUGGUAUUGGGCCCCGCCGCUCCGGCGGGCCCUAAAGUCAGUGGCGGUGCCGUCCGGCUCCGAGCGUAGUAAUUCUUCUCGCUCUGGAGGUCCGGUCGUGUGCUCGCCAGCAACCCCCAAUUUUUUUCAGGUUGACCUCGGAUCAGGUAGGGAUACCCGCUGAACUUAAGCAUAUCAAUAAGCGGAGGA
RNAcentral lists this unclassified non-coding RNA (329 nucleotides) under soil metagenome. RNAcentral describes it as "partial contains 5.8S ribosomal RNA, internal transcribed spacer 2, and large subunit ribosomal RNA". The stretch from base 1 to 120 matches the Rfam family "5.8S ribosomal RNA", at positions 35 to 154 of the family's 154-position model. The record is from RNAcentral.